UACGAAGGGGGCUAGCGUUGUUCGGAAUUACUGGGCGUAAAGCGCGCGCAGGCGGUCUUCCAAGUCAGUGGUGAAAGCCCGGAGCUCAACUCCGGAACUGCCAUUGAAACUGUUAGACUUGAGGAUGAGAGAGGUGAGUGGAAUUCCCAGUGUAGAGGUGAAAUUCGUAGAUAUUGGGAAGAACACCGGUGGCGAAGGCGGCCUGCUGGGCUAUGGCUGACACUGAGGCGCGACAGCGUGGGGAGCAAACAGG
This 253-nucleotide ribosomal RNA is filed under the name uncultured bacterium. RNAcentral's name for it is "partial 16S ribosomal RNA". It matches the Rfam family "Bacterial small subunit ribosomal RNA", at positions 524 to 776 of the family's 1533-position model. The record is from RNAcentral.